ACACUUAGACACUUAGACACACACACACACUGGUUGGCAUCUGGGCUGGCAUUUGCAUUGGCAGCAUGGCGCUCGUGUCUGGUGUCCACAAAAAGAGGCAGAGAGCUGUAAUCCAGACCCAGCCCUUGCGAUAGCACCCGGAGUGGAGAUCUUGUUCCCCUCGCUCCCGCCCUCCUGGACCUGGGCCGCCAGCUGCUCACACAACGUGGCCUGCCGGCCCACGGCUCACCUGCCUGCCUCCCCACGCCUCGACCGCUUCCGGGUUUUCCGCUCCACCUGUCCCCUCCAUCUGAAACCAACAUGUCUUUUAUCCUGUCUUCCUUCUCUCACCCCAACCGGUCGCAGCAGAUGGCCCCGCCGCUCCCUGAGCCUGGUUCUGCUGGAGGUUUCUUCCUGUUAAAAGGGAGUUUUUCCUUCCCACUGUUGCCAAAGUGCUUGCUCAUAGGG
Long non-coding RNA from Astatotilapia calliptera (eastern happy), 447 nucleotides. The record is from Ensembl. NCBI's taxonomy places the organism in Eukaryota, Metazoa, Chordata, Actinopteri, Cichliformes, Cichlidae.